Molecule: ribosomal RNA, 429 nt
Filed under: Pseudomonadota bacterium
Lineage: Bacteria; Pseudomonadati; Pseudomonadota
Description: Proteobacteria bacterium partial 16S ribosomal RNA
Rfam family: Bacterial small subunit ribosomal RNA
Source: RNAcentral
UGGGGAUUAUUGGACAAUGGGCGAAAGCCUGAUCCAGCCAUGCCGCGUGUGUGAAGAAGGUCUUCGGAUUGUAAAGCACUUUAAGUUGGGAGGAAGGGCAGUAAGCGAAUACCUUGCUGUUUUGACGUUACCGACAGAAUAAGCACCGGCUAACUCUGCGCCAGCAGCCGCGGUAAUACAGAGGGUGCAAGCGUUAAUCGGAAUUACUGGGCGUAAAGCGCGCGUAGGUGGUUCGUUAAGUUGAAUGUGAAAGCCCCGGGCUCAACCUGGGAACUGCAUCCAAAACUGGCGAGCUAGAGUAGGGCAGAGGGUGGUGGAAUUUCCUGUGUAGCGGUGAAAUGCGUAGAUAUAGGAAGGAACACCAGUGGCGAAGGCGACCACCUGGGCUCAUACUGACACUGAGGUGCGAAAGCGUGGGGAGCAAACAGG